Molecule: unclassified non-coding RNA, 4894 nt
Filed under: Leishmania donovani
Lineage: Eukaryota; Euglenozoa; Kinetoplastea; Trypanosomatida; Trypanosomatidae
Description: gene:LdHU3.36.8700(CDS-product:glucose_transporte r_2)
Source: RNAcentral
AGAAGCAAAACAACAAAACAAAGGAGAAAAACGAGGUCCCUUUACCAACGCACUCGCCCCUCGAAUCCUUGCUGAGCGGCACCUCAUCCCCGCAGAGCACGAACGCAGAAAGAAGGUACGAAACAUAAACCACAGCAAACAACGCAAGCUUCUUUACUGGAAAAACAUCAUUUUUUUUUUUGACACGUGAACUGCACAACCUUCCAUACGUGAAACACAACUCACACACACUCUCGCAUAGUCCAGAACCAUGAGCGGCCCUUACACUACGAAUCCGACCUCGGCAAGGCUCCCUCAUAAUGUGCUAGCGACACAGCUAAAUACGGAGGGGGAGGGGCCGCAAAGGAUGUUCAUGGAUGCUUCCCCAGCCGAUCAUCCUCUGAUGACACAGCACCAGAUUCCUCGGCCGCUGGACCCCCGAAAACUGAAGCCGCCUCAUACUAAUUGUGACGCUCCGUCCUUUUCACCACCACAACGACAUCUUAACCCUCAUCCGCUUCCAGAGUCGAAAUACACAGCUGAGAAAGUCCCGAACCCGAUGACGCCUGCCAUUGCUGAUGACCUUGACGGCUUUGAUCAGGAGACUGUAUCACAAAAUGAGCAGCCAUCGCCCUCAUUUUGCUCCAUCUCGAAUGCUCGUAUGAUCAUGGUGCAGGCCAUUGGUGGCAGCCUCAACGGCUACUCGAUCGGCUUUGUCGGCGUGUACUCAACGCUGUUUGGCUACAGCACGAACUGCGCGAACUUCCGCAGCGAGAGAGGCUGCACGACGGCGCCGAACGCCGACUGCCAGUGGUUUCCGAACGCGACUGGCACCGGCUACUGUGGCUGGCCCGAGAUCACGUGCCGCAGAACAUACACCUACUCGAGUGCUUCGGAAAUGCCGGGUGCGAUUACCCAGUGCGAGGCAGACCCGCGGUGCAGGUGGUCCUACAGCGCCAAGGAGUGCCAGAACCCGUCGGGCUACUCGUCGUCGGAAAGCGGUAUCUUCGCCGGCUCGAUGAUUGCCGGCUGCUUGAUCGGCUCCGUGUUUGCUGGCCCGCUUGCGUCGACGAUUGGCGCGAGGCUCUCGUUUCUGCUCGUUGGCCUCGUGGGUGUUGUGUCGUCCGUGAUGUGCCAUGUGUCGACCUCCGAGAACGAGUUUUGGGUGCUGAUUGUCGGCCGCUUCGCGAUUGGCCUGUUCCUGGGCGUGAUCGGUGUUGCGUGCCCUGUGUACACUGACCAGAACGCGCACCCGAAGUGGAAGCGCACGAUUGGUGUGAUGUUCCAGGUGUUCACGACACUGGGCAUCUUCGUUGCGGCGGCGGUUGGCCUUGCACUUGGCCAGAGCAUCUGGUUUGACCGCGACAAGGACCAGAUGGUGAUGGCGCGCAUGCAGGGCCUGUGCGCAUUCUCGACCCUGUUCAGCCUGCUGACGAUCCUGCUUGGGAUUGUGAUGAGCGAAUCGCGCGCGAAGUUCGGCGGCGACGAUGAGGAGGGCGGCAUUGAGCUGGACCCGAACGAGUACGGCUACGUCGAAAUGAUCCCGCGCCUGCUGAUGGGCGCCGUGAUGGCUGGCACGCUGCAGCUGACUGGCAUCAACGCUGUGAUGAACUACGCGCCGGCGAUCAUGGGCAGUCUUGGCCUGGCGCCGCUGGUGGGCAACUUCGUUGUGAUGCUGUGGAACUUCGUGACGACGCUUGCGUCGAUCCCGCUCUCGUACGUGUUCACGAUGCGCCAGCUGUUCCUCUUCGGCUCGCUCUUCACGUCGAGCAUGUGCCUGCUCAUGUGCGGUAUUCCCGUGUACCCUGGUGUCAGCAAGAAGACGGAGGUGAAGAACGGCGUGGCCAUCACUGGCAUCCUGCUGUUCAUUCUCGGCUUCGAGGUGUGCGUGGGCCCGUGCUACUACGUUCUGACGCAGGACAUGUUCCCGCUGUCGUUCCGCCCGCGCGGUGCGUCGUUCACGCAGGUGACCCAGUUCAUCUUCAACCUGAUCAUCAACGUGUGCUACCCGAUCGCGACCGAACACAUCUCUGGCGGCCCUUCAGGCAACCAGGACAAGGGCCAGGCCGUUGCCUUCAUCUUCUUCGGCUGCGUGGGCAUUAUCUGCUUCAUCGUCCAGGUCUUCUUCCUGCACCCGUGGGACGAGAAGCGCGAUGGCAAGAAGAGGGCGGCGGCCCCGGCUGACGGGAAGAAGGAGCUGAGCUCCUCGCUCAGCGGCAACAGGGCUGAGUGAGCAGAAUGAGGAGGAUGCUGCAGUGGCCUUCCCGCCUUCUCUCUCGCGCCUCAGUCAGGGCCGUGUGCCCGUGACUAGACGUGCGUCGGCGCGCCGCGAUGGCUUCGACUCCGCUGGCCUUGACCGCGCUUGCGGGGAGCGCCGUGCCGCGCCAACGCACUUUUUUUGUGUUGGGAUUCUCUCUCUCACGAUGGUAUCUUCAACCUGACUGUGAUAUCAGUUUCCUGCGCCGACUCUAUGGGUGGAAGCGAUGAGCCUAUAUUACCCUCGUGGGCUUAGCUGCAUGCGCUCGUCGCCGACGGAGACAUCGGGGCUGUUGCUGUUGUUAGGGGUCUUGUUGUCGAGAUCUUGUUUCUGUCCGGAAACGUUCGAAUGAUAUCAUCAGCUCCAGUGGCGCACACAAGCGCCUUUUGUUUUUUUUUCUGUGCUUCAGCAGUGUCGCGGCGAUAUUGGGCGUCGUCCUGCACCGAGCGCGUUGCGUGCAGUGGAGUUGCAGUCUGCUGAGCAACUCUCGGCAGCAUUAGUUGGCCCGCUUCCUUGACGGAGCUUGGCUGCCACUCUGCGCUCUGCAGGGGAUGCACGUCGCCCCACAGGGCUGUGGGCCAUGUCUUCGCUCGGGGCUGUCCGCAUUGGCGCGCCGCCAGAGAGACGAAAGGCGGCGAUGGCGUCUCCGUGGUCAUCCAACAGGACAUAGGGGUAACUGUAAUGCGCUACGGUCGCAAGGGUGAGGUUGCGGCUGCGGCUGUCCGGCGUUGCGGCGGUAACCACACUAGACGGAUCCACUUCACGUUCGGAUACACACCGAAGAGUGGCCUGUUGACACAGGCGUUUCUCGGUCAGAAAGCAGGCAAUGUCGCACACCGGCCUAGCGCUUUUGGCGUGGAGGCGAACCAGUCCGGGCUGGCACGAUUCUGCAGGAGUGGCUCAGUGAGCAAUGCGUGACAUGUGCCGACGACAAAGCCACAUCGACACGGCACGGCGCAGACGGAGCCACAGAGACGUUACGCUGGCACUUGAAUGCCCCAUGUGCGAUUGGGGCACCGUCACCACGGCGCCGAGUGGCCGCUUGCGCGAUCGGAUUCGCUCCCCACUUUGAAGAGGGAUGUGACCCGGUGCCGCCGGUGACGACUGCGGAGCCCAAUUGUACCCGCUCCACGCGGCGCACCGGAAACUGCACUGCGCCCCUUUCGCCCAACCGAUCCGCAACCACCGUGCAUGCCAUCGCUACAGCGAGGCGAAGACACGCGAGCUUCGGAGUGCCGCUAUGAUCCCGACUCCUAAGAGAACCCGUCAGCGCUUCACGGAAGAAGGGCACAGCGUCCAUGCAGUCAUCAGCAUCACCCGCCAUACAUACACAGCUGCACCAUGUUUCUCAAGGAAAAGGUAAGAUUCCUAACAAAACUAAGAGCUAAGACCAUCAGCAGUGCUGUCCUGUCUGGCAAGUUCGUGUAUAAACUCCUCUGGACAACAAAACUGACGCUAUUGAAAGCGGCUCUCGAGAAGCUUUCCUGCGCGUCGCAGGAGCAUCGCCCUCCCUCCCCCCCGAGAUGCUCAUCAAAGAGCCGGGAUUGAAGGAUUGAGGCAGUCCUGCAACGCCCUUUCCCCUCCCCAAAGGCGACCUUUGAACGCAGGCAUGCACCCAGGCUAUCCAUGACCACCACACGCUACAUGUGCGAGCAAUGCGACAAGGCGACCGCCACCUCAGUACGAGCGAGCAGGCCAGCGUAUUACCGAUGCACCAACACAAGUCACCGCAGCAUUCGGCAGCCCCCUCCCCCCCCUGCGUCGUUCGAACUGCCCACGGUGGGCGGGCUCGUGGUGAAAGGGCUCAUUUACGAAACGAAGGCUUUUACCUGUGAUGUGCUCUCCCAUUGUGACGUGCCUCGUUCUCCCUUCGCGUGCGGUCAUACGAGUGUUGCGCGUGCGCUCGUCGAACAGUGCCCGACUCGUGUCGUUGGUGUUGCCCCCCCCCCCCCCCCCCCCCAUGUCCUCUCCUCCCGCCCCCCACGCGCGCUCGUUCAGACUCUUUCGUCUUUUGCACGAGCUGGAAGACGGUGCCUGCGCGGCGUUGCCUGCUGCCGGUGCUGGUGGCGCGGAGGAUGGGAGGUGCGGUGCGAGCGGGCGGGGGUGGCGCGCGACGAGCGCAAGGGACGGCAGUAUCCAAAAGAUGAAAAGCGGUACCUUCUCUCUUUCUUUUCAUUAGUAUCGCGUGCGCAGGGGUGCGGCGCGUGCGGACGGGAACGAUGCCUGCUGGAGACGGCCGUCUCGGCUGCGCGCAGACGCCGGUGUGCCCUGACGCGGCGCGAGAAAAGAUUGUGAGCGAAGAGGAUGGUUAGAGGCUUCGCUGUUUCACUCUAUCAAAAGCAAAUGGACGCGUGCUCCUCUCUCUACUCGUUUCUCUCGCCGUCCUUUCGGGCGGCCUGCGCAAGCCUCACGGCGCACGCAAGCGAAGGCGAGAUGGCCAGCGUGAUGCGCCUCCGAGGGACCGCAGAGCGUGGCGCUGACCUCCUCUCAAUUUGCACACGUGAGUAGAACCAGUGGAGCGCUUUCGUCGUUUCGUUUCUGUCUUGUUUUCUCUCGCCUUUAGCUGCCGCUGUCACCGUCCCACCUGAAUGGGUGCAGGAUCGCGGAAAGGCACAUCGCCUCUCUUGCUAACUGUUCCUGGACUUCACUGAGUGUUCG